CUGGUUGAUCCUGCCAGUAGUCAUAUGCUUGUCUCAAAGAUUAAGCCAUGCAUGUCUAAGUACAAGCCUCACUAAGGUGAAACCGCGAAUGGCUCAUUAAAUCACACCUAAUCUACUGGAUAGUAAACAGUUACUUGGAUAACUGCGGUAAUUCUGGAGCUAAUACAUGCAUAAAGCCCCAACUCACGAAGGGGCGCUUUUAUUAGAUCAAAACCAAACGGCUUCGGCUGUAGUCUUGGUGAUUCUGAAUAACUUUGGGCUGAUCGCAUAGCCUUGCGCUGGCGACAUAUCCUUCGAAGGUGUGCCCUAUCAACUGUCGACUGUGGCAUAGACGCCCCAGUGGUUUUGACGGGUAACGGGGAAUCAGGGUUCGAUUCCGGAGAGGGAGCCUUAAAAACGGCUACCACAUCUAAGGAAGGCAGCAGGCACGCAAACUACCCAAUGACCGAAGGUCGAGGUAGUGACGAAAAAUAACGAUAGCGGUCUCAUCCGAGGUACGCUAAUUGGAAUGAGUACACUUUAAAACCGUCCCCGAGGAUCUAUUGGAGGGCAAGUCUGGU
RNAcentral lists this ribosomal RNA (560 nucleotides) under uncultured eukaryote. RNAcentral's name for it is "SSU rRNA". It matches the Rfam family "Eukaryotic small subunit ribosomal RNA", at positions 4 to 565 of the family's 1831-position model. The record is from RNAcentral.